UGGGGAAUAUUGCACAAUGGGCGCAAGCCUGAUGCAGCCAUGCCGCGUGUAUGAAGAAGGCCUUCGGGUUGUAAAGUACUUUCAGCGGGGAGGAAGGCGAUGUGGUUAAUAACCGCGUCGAUUGACGUUACCCGCAGAAGAAGCACCGGCUAACUCCGUGCCAGCAGCCGCGGUAAUACGGAGGGUGCAAGCGUUAAUCGGAAUUACUGGGCGUAAAGCGCACGCAGGCGGUCUGUCAAGUCGGAUGUGAAAUCCCCGGGCUCAACCUGGGAACUGCAUCCGAAACUGGCAGGCUUGAGUCUCGUAGAGGGGGGUAGAAUUCCAGGUGUAGCGGUGAAAUGCGUAGAGAUCUGGAGGAAUACCGGUGGCGAAGGCGGCCCCCUGGACAAAGACUGACGCUCAGGUGCGAAAGCGUGGGGAGCAAACA
This 427-nucleotide ribosomal RNA is filed under the name uncultured bacterium. RNAcentral's name for it is "partial 16S ribosomal RNA". It matches the Rfam family "Bacterial small subunit ribosomal RNA", at positions 355 to 774 of the family's 1533-position model. The record is from RNAcentral.